Papaver somniferum (opium poppy) is the source of this 720-nucleotide long non-coding RNA. RefSeq lists it as uncharacterized. NCBI's taxonomy places the organism in Eukaryota, Viridiplantae, Streptophyta, Magnoliopsida, Ranunculales, Papaveraceae. The record is from RefSeq and is a predicted model, not a curated record. The transcript is spliced from 3 exons.
GACACCACAUUAUGCCUCUCCGAUCUCAAAGAGAUAACGCAGCUAAAGAGUCGGAGGGAUCACAGGAUUGCAAAUGGAUCGAAUGCAAACCAGAAUUCUUGAUGCUCAACAUACUGUUACGGUGUUACCAAUCAAUUGCUUGAAUACUAUCGCUCAGGACCGGUCAUCCUUCCGGACUUGCCGAUCAUACAGGAUCUGGAGUCGCUUUAUCUUUCACAGAUGAUACAGAAUUUUCAUCCUGUUAAUGGAAUGGUUCAUGAUGAAAAUAGGGUUGAGGCUGAUAAUCAAGAUGAACAUUUUAUCAUUGAUGGCUGACCUGGGUUAUACAAUUGAUUCGGUAAAUUGGGCAUUUGAAGUUCAUGGAGCUGUGAGAUCUGUUGGCGCUGCCUUGAUGUAUGAUUGUGUGCAUCUGUUGGGACUACAUCAACUUCGGUUAUGCAUUAUAAUCCGAUAUCUGACAUUUCGAGUAUGAGAUCUGUGGGAAAUUUGAAGAGUCCAAUUGGUAUCAUCAAAGAAGAGCAAAAAAAGGCUGUAUCUGUAUGAACGGUGUGGUCUACAUGUUGAUCGUAUACAAAAUCAAGCGAUAAAACAGAUAAAACGCAUCCUCUACAAAGUGAUGAAACAGUAUGAUAACAAUGCUAUCUUGCCUUCUAUGUAUCUUCAUUUCAUUCCAGACGGCUAUUGAAACUAUUUAUUCUUCAAUGCUCUUUGUUUUUCCAA